CGGAGGCUCCCGGGAGCGGGCGGCGCGGGGUUAGCGCGGCAAGCGGACAGCGGCGCGACCUCCCGGGCAGCCAGCGUGGACUGAGCGGCGCGCGUGCCGAGCAUGGCGGGCUCCUUGCCUCCCUGCGUGGUGGACUGCGGCACCGGGUAUACCAAGCUUGGCUACGCAGGCAACACUGAGCCACAGUUCAUUAUUCCUUCAUGUAUUGCCAUCAGAGAGUCUGCAAAGGUGGUCGACCAAGCCCAGAGGAGGGUGUUGAGGGGUGUGGACGACCUGGACUUCUUCAUAGGGGACGAAGCCAUAGAUAAACCCACGUAUGCCACAAAGUGGCCAAUAAGACACGGAAUAAUUGAAGACUGGGAUCUAAUGGAAAGGUUCAUGGAACAAGUGAUUUUUAAAUAUCUUCGAGCUGAGCCUGAGGAUCAUUAUUUUUUAAUGACAGAACCUCCACUGAACACACCAGAAAACAGAGAAUAUCUUGCAGAAAUUAUGUUUGAAUCAUUUAAUGUACCAGGACUCUACAUUGCAGUUCAGGCAGUGCUGGCCUUAGCAGCGUCUUGGACCUCGCGGCAAGUGGGUGAACGUACGUUAACGGGGAUCGUCAUCGACAGUGGGGAUGGGGUCACCCAUGCUAUCCCAGUGGCAGAAGGGUAUGUCAUUGGGAGCUGCAUCAAACACAUCCCUAUCGCAGGGAGAGAUAUUACGUAUUUCAUGCAACAGCUGCUGAGGGAGCGGGAGGUGGGGAUUCCUCCGGAGCAGUCGCUGGAGACUGCCAAAGCCAUCAAGGAGAAAUACUGUUAUAUUUGCCCUGAUAUCGUCAAGGAAUUUGCCAAGUAUGAUGUGGAUCCUCAGAAGUGGAUCAAACAGUACACGGGGAUCAAUGCAGUCAACCAGAAGAAGUUCAUCAUAGAUGUUGGCUACGAAAGGUUCCUGGGCCCUGAGAUUUUCUUUCACCCGGAGUUUGCCAACCCAGACUUUAUGGAGUCCAUCUCGGACGUUGUUGAUGAAGUCAUUCAGAGCUGCCCCAUCGAUGUCCGUCGUCCGCUGUAUAAGAAUGUCGUUCUUUCGGGGGGCUCGACGAUGUUCAGGGACUUUGGACGUCGCCUGCAGAGAGACUUAAAAAGGGUGGUGGACGCCAGACUGAGACUCAGCGAGGAGCUCAGUGGCGGCAGAAUAAAGCCCAAGCCCGUGGAGGUCCAGGUGAUAACACAUCAUAUGCAGCGCUAUGCGGUGUGGUUCGGAGGCUCGAUGCUGGCCUCAACUGUGGGUGUGCGAUGCCGUAGCACACGUGUGUGAGAGGACCUCCCUCCGCUGUGUCACCGUCUGCAGUGUGGUCAGCGGGAGAGCCCAGCGGAAGAAAUGACCCCACAGGAAUCUUGAAGACGUGUGCCGCCUGGACUACAAGACAGACCCGAUAAAACCCUGGACACCACGGCACAGGUUGCACCUGCAAUCAAACGUGAGCACAUCAUCUUUGCUCAGGCUGUGUUAUAGGGAAUCCUGGCUAACACAGCAUGCUAUGAUAAUGGGAUGGAUUAAAGGAAGUUGCAAAGAAUGGAAUUUUGCAGAACAACUUGCCUUCCUCGAGAGACAUGGCUCUGUUGUCCGAGUCAUCACAGAAUGAGUGCUACAGGGGUAACCUGGGCUUGGCAAGUGGCUCAAUGCUUCCCAGCUCUUCAGGAACUGGGAAGUAGGCAUUUCUUUAUGGCAACGGCAAGAUGAGUGGAAUCUGCUGAUCCCGUGGGUGGAGAUGGAGCUGGAAGGAGGGACCCUGCCAGGCUGUGCAGCCCGAGCUGGUGGCGGCUGCCCCGGAAGAAGGCUGUUUGGGUGCCGUGCAGUUCUUGGAGGAUUUGAAUGAGUUUAUAUUCAGAAUGAAAUGUGACCAGAUGGACCAGAAUCUCCCUGAGACUCAACUGAGCAAACCUUCUCCUCGUCACUCAGUCAUUGGGCACCGUCUACACACUAAGAAUCUGAGAUGAGCAACAGCUGUGAGACCCUCCUAAAGCUCCUUGAGAAGAUGAAAUGACCAUCUCAUGGGGUUUAGAUAAAAGGAAAUGAUCAUGAAGAUGGAGAGAAUGACCAUGAAAAAGACGAAGGAAGGUUAGGAGGGGGAACAGAAUGAGGAGAAAGUAACAUUUCACCUUGGGAAAGUCACUGCAGCUUUGAACCUCAGUUCCCUGAUCUGUCAAAGGCUACUGCACUUGCCUCUCUUUUUGUGACGAUAAAGCGAAACAACAGAUAAGAAAAGAUCUCAACAACUGUGAAUUGCUAUAUACAUGGAGGCAUGAAGGUCUAGUAAAGAUAUUAUGUAUCAAUAAGUCAUGUGACCUUUCACAGCGGGUCAGAUG
RNA transcript from Lagenorhynchus albirostris (white-beaked dolphin), 2348 nucleotides. It is a transcript of the gene named actin related protein 3B, with no coding region annotated. The transcript is spliced from 17 exons. The record is from RefSeq and is a predicted model, not a curated record. NCBI's taxonomy places the organism in Eukaryota, Metazoa, Chordata, Mammalia, Artiodactyla, Delphinidae.